AAGGGUGGGGAUGACGUACAAAUCAUCAUCGCCCCUUAUGAUCUGGGCUACACACGUGCUACAAUGGCCGGUACAACGGGCAGCGAAGGAGCGAUCCGGAGCGAAUCCUAAAAAGCCGGUCCCAGUUCGGAUUGCAGGCUGAAACUCGCCUACAUGAAGUUGGAGUUGCUAGUAAUCGCGAAUCAGAAUGUCGCGGUGAAUGCGUUCCCGGGUCUU
Molecule: ribosomal RNA, 216 nt
Filed under: uncultured Fusibacter sp.
Lineage: Bacteria; Bacillati; Bacillota; Clostridia; Eubacteriales; Fusibacteraceae
Description: partial 16S ribosomal RNA
Rfam family: Bacterial small subunit ribosomal RNA
Source: RNAcentral